GACGAACGCUGGCGGCGUGCUUAACACAUGCAAGUCGAACGGAAAGGCCCUGCUUUUGUGGGGUGCUCGAGUGGCGAACGGGUGAGUAACACGUGAGUAACCUGCCCUUGACUUUGGGAUAACUUCAGGAAACUGGGGCUAAUACCGGAUAGGAGCUCCUGCUGCAUGGUGGGGGUUGGAAAGUUUCGGCGGUUGGGGAUGGACUCGCGGCUCAUCAGCUUGUUGGUGGGGUAGUGGCUUACCAAGGCUUUGACGGGUAGCCGGCCUGAGAGGGUGACCGGCCACAUUGGGACUGAGAUACGGCCCAGACUCCUACGGGAGGCAGCAGUGGGGAAUACUGCACAAUGGGCGGAAGCCUGAUGCAGCAACGCCGCGUGCGGGAUGACGGCCUUCGGGUUGUAAACCGCUUUCGCCUGUGACGAAGCGUGAGUGACGGUAAUGGGUAAAGAAGCACCGGCUAACUACGUG
Molecule: ribosomal RNA, 468 nt
Filed under: uncultured bacterium
Lineage: Bacteria
Description: partial 16S ribosomal RNA
Rfam family: Bacterial small subunit ribosomal RNA
Source: RNAcentral